This is a long non-coding RNA of Amphibalanus amphitrite, 963 nucleotides long. RefSeq lists it as uncharacterized. The transcript is spliced from 3 exons. The record is from RefSeq and is a predicted model, not a curated record. Lineage: Eukaryota; Metazoa; Arthropoda; Thecostraca; Balanomorpha; Balanidae.
AACGGGGGAAGUCGGUCCAGAGUCACUGCGCCGCGCGGUUAUGUGAGCAAGCCGUGGGCUAGGUACCGCUCCAGGUCAGACAAUGGUUGGCACUGAAGAGUGCGGCGACACUACAGAGCUGUGAACGAAGACGGUGAACGGCGAGAUGUGGUGACCGCUUGACUGACCUGUGCCCAAAGUCGUGAUCUACCGCUGGGGUCAGUGCGUGAGAAGCUGGACUCGGCAACAACGGAGGACGCAGAUCGACGAGGAAGAUAUGCUGUGUUGAGGGACGUCUGCCGGUUACGACCGGAAGGCUUCCGACGGGACUUGGCAGAACCCACAACAGCAGUAUGAACCCGGCGUGGAGUUAAUGCGUAAUUGCUCGCAUGAGCAACCGAAGAGCGACUUCCAGGCGAAGCUGCCGCAGAAUUCCUGGAGAUGCGCUGGGAUAUGGAUCAUAGCAAGGUGGCUCUCAGCGGCAGCUGACCGCUGAGAUGUGUGUGAAACAGCCCGAAGGAAGACUCGAGUUGUGGAUCCAGGGCACUACUGAACGGAAGGCCGGACCAGCUGUAGGGAGACUACAGAAAAGCCGUCGUUCUCAAUCUGCUGAACAGACUCCUACUGCAGAGGAUCAACUGGGGUUCGACGUGUUAGAACUGGGGUUAGACCGGUUACCAGUGCUCGUGUUCGUCACCUGUUGUUUGUCACUGCUGCGCUGCUGCUGUAAUGUUUUCCACCUGCUAAGCGUUCACAAUGUAUUUUAAGUGAAUAAUAACUUUUUUAGUGUUUGUCUUGAUUUGUAACGAGUAUAUCAAUUAUCAAGCAUGUUAACCUUUCAUCAAAUGAAGGACUCCACAUAAAAAUAGUAUAGGCUGUGGUGGUACAGACACAUACCAUGCUUGGCCGACUGUUGUGUAUUGAUCUAGUCGUUGAAGCGUCCUGAAAGUCUGGAAAUAAACAGGCAUGGCCAAAUGGAUUGGU